Molecule: non-coding RNA, 69 nt
Organism: Rhamnusium bicolor
Lineage: Eukaryota; Metazoa; Arthropoda; Insecta; Coleoptera; Cerambycidae
Source: the annotation of a GenBank genome assembly
UUCUUGAUCGAGUGGUAAGGACACUCUUUUCUCAUCCUGGAGUCCCGGGUUCGAUCCCCGGUUAAGGAG